CGAGUGAAGUUGGCCGAAAAUCAACGCUUGAAUGAUUUAAAAUGACUUAAAACUACCGUAGAUGACGUGUCAGCGGGGUUUGGAGAGCACGCUAUGGAAACGUGACACAGAAACGCUUUCGUAACAGUUUAUUCUGACCAAUCAGAGCUCUCCAUUCAUGCCCGUGUAUUCCUGUGGGAGGAGAUAUGUUGAUAGAGAAAGGACGCCUUGCAUGGUUGACACGGUAUUACUAUCAAUUUAUAGUCCAUGUUUAACGUUUUGUUGAGUAUUUUUUAACUUUAACUAGUCUAACGUUGCGCUUGGAGACUACUCUGAAAGCUUUACGCGUUUCUGCUUUUGAGGAGCUUGUAAUUGUGUUACACUGCGCCUCAUGUGAUAUAGCAAAAUAUCGCUGAUGCACAGAAACUUAUUUUUUUCCGGGACAUAUCUUCGAGUAAUGUGUUCACUUAGUCGUUGCUAUUAAUCAAGCGAACUGCCGUGUUGCUAUUUUUUGUUGUUUUUUGCGUUUGCUGUGGAUAUCUGCAGUCCACACAUGCGGCCGCUGCUGGUCAGGAGACCCAACUUUGUGGAUACGUUCAUGGAGCAAGGUUAAGGCUCCACCAACCCUAUAAAUCCAGUCACCUGCAGAAAAACCGCUCGACUAUUCAGCUGCCAAAACAACGCAAGUGGGCGCCUUCUUGAUUUUUGUGGGAACCCCUUCCCUCUUUUUCACCCCACCUGGGAUAAUAAUUACCAGAUUGAGGCCGGCGACAUGGUGGUCAACACCAUCCACUGGUUUAGGAAGGGACUGCGGCUGCACGACAACCCCUCCCUGAGGGACUCCAUCCCGGGGUCGGAUACCCUGCGCUGCAUCUACAUCCUGGACCCCUGGUUCGCUGGGUCCUCCAACGUGGGCAUCAACAGGUGGAGGUUUUUGCUGCAGUGUUUAGAGGACUUGGAUGCCAGCCUGCGCAAACUCAACUCCCGCCUGUUUGUCAUUCGAGGUCAACCGACAGAUGUCUUCCCUCGUCUUUUUAAGGAAUGGCAGAUCACUCGUCUAUCAUAUGAGUAUGACUCUGAGCCUUUCGGCAAAGAACGUGAUUCUACUAUCAAAAAACUAGCCAGUGAGGCCGGAGUUGAAGUCAUAGUGCGAAUAUCACACACUCUCUAUGAUCUGGACAAGAUCAUAGAAGUGAAUGGUGGUCAGCCUCCUCUCACGUACAAGCGCUUCCAGUCUGUAAUCAACUGUAUGCGUGCUGUGGACCUGCCUGCAGAGACCAUCACAUCUGAGGUCAUUGAAACAUGUGCCACAUCCAUCGGUGAAGACCAUGACAAUAAGUUUGGAGUCCCCUCCCUGGAAGAGCUUGGUUUUGAGACAGAGGACCUGACCACAGCAGUUUGGCCAGGUGGAGAAACAGAAGCCCUCUUGAGACUAGAGAGACACCUGGAGAGGAAGGCAUGGGUGGCCAACUUUGAGCGCCCACGUAUGAACGCCAACUCCCUGCUGGCCAGUCCAACAGGCCUCGGCCCCUACCUGCGCUUCGGAUGUCUCUCUUGUCGGCUCUUCUAUCUCAAGCUCACAGACCUGUACAGGAAGGUCAAGAAGGACAGCACCCCACCGCUUCCCUUGUAUGGCCAGCUGUUGUGGAGAGAGUUCUUCUACACGGCCGCAACCAACAACUCCUGCUUUGACAAGAUGGAGGGUAACCCUAUAUGUGUCCAGAUCCCCUGGGACCGAAACCAAGAGGCACUGGCCAAGUGGGUAGAGGGACGGACAGGCUUUCCUUGGAUAGACGCUAUUAUGAUCCAGCUGAGGGAGGAGGGCUGGAUCCAUCCUUUGGCACGGCAUGCUGUGGCCUGCUUCCUCACCAGGGGAGACCUCUGGAUCCGCUGGGAGGAAGGCAUGAAGGUGUUUGAAGAGUUGCUGUUAGAUGCAGACUGGAGUGUCAAUGCUGGCAGCUGGAUGUGGCUCUCUUGCAGUUCUUUUUUCCAGAAUUUCUUCCACUGCUACUGCCCUGUGGGAUUUGGACGACGCACAGACCCCAGCGGUGACUACAUACGGCGUUAUUUGCCCAUAUUGAAGGGUUUUCCAGCCAAAUACAUCUAUGAUCCGUGGAAUGCCCCAGAAGAAGUACAGAAGAAAGCCAAGUGUAUCAUUGGAGUUCACUACCCCAAGCCCAUGGUGAACCACGCUGAGGCUAGCCGUGUCAAUAUUGAGCGGAUGAAGCAAAUUUACCAGCAGCUAUCCUGCUACAAAGGAUUGGGCCUACUGGCAACAGUACCAGCUAACUCCAACAAUGGGGCAAGUGGAAGUAAUGCCAGAGAAGUAAUCUCUGGGACUAGUCAAGGUUGGGGGAAGUCCACUGAAGACCCCUCAGUGCAGAUGGCAACGUCUCAGACAGACAGAGGACCAACCACGCACAAGCGGCGGUGUGAAGAAGCCCCACCCGAGAGCAACUUUAAAUCCUGGAAGCAGAGCACGUAGUUACCAAAGGCAGACUAAAGGGGUUCCUCAGUCAGUCUGUAUCAUCUGGAUAGCAUCUUCUCCUGCAGUGCCUUCAGCUAACAUGCAGUAAUAACUGUAACUAACAGCCAUAGAGGAAACAAAUUGGGGGGUGUGUACCCAGCUGUUACUACUGACUGUUUGUCUGAAGGACCCCCCUUAGUACAUGAUAUUUGUAAUUAGUUAAGUCAGUCAGCUGUUAACAUCGCUUGACGACCUGAUAAAACACAGUACACAUCUCAGGAACGAAAGAAGUAACCUUGCUGUAAAACCAGGAUAAAACAGGCAAAAAUAUUUCUGAGGACAAGGUCUUCACAUCAAGGUGUUGUCUUCCACUACAGUAAUGUUAAAGAGAUGAAACCACAAAUGUCAAUAAAAAUGGCUGGUUUCUACCCCGCCCCCUUCAAACAGUAAGUCAGGUCAGGACAUUAUGAGGUUGGUUGAUAAAUGUUAAUAAUACACUGUCCAGUAGUGUGUAAUUCAGUCAGCUGGGUGUAUAGCAAAGCAUCGGUUAUUGUACAUAGAAGGUGAGCUGAAAGACGGGGCUGACCCUAACCCUUCAACCCUCAUACCCACUGUCAACACACUGGCAUCAGAAGACCAGGGGGGUUUUCCAGGUAGGAGGUUCAACAAACUCUGAGUCUAACCCUGAACUCUGAGUUGACUUACUCUGAGAUGGGAAACUCUGAGGAUCCGGUUCCAGAACAGCUGAUCUGAAUUAGUUCAAUCAAUUCUGAGUAUGCUCACCUUGAGUUUGGCGUGUGUGUGACCACUAUAAAAAGCCAUCAUCAAUGGAGCCCCGAUACCUUGAUUCACCAUGGUAACUACUAAGAAAACAAGCUCAAGUUAGGUCACCUCACUGUAACUGGAGCUCCCCCUGCAGGCCUGUGGCGAAUAUGAACAUAUAUUUCACAAAAAGUAACACAGCUGCAGAUGUUAAGGAGAGAGAAGCGGCAUGGGAGAAAAUUGAAUACACCACUCCACUGACUUAACUUACCUCACUUAAAAUUGUAGCAUACAGGUGAAAAAGUGGUGUAACGUAUUUGGAAGCAGGUAAAAAUGAAAUAAAAAACAUAAAUCAGAAAAGUAAGGCACAUUUUGCUGGGCCAUAAUUGUACCUCGCUUUGAUUUUAUUCAUAGUUGACGUAGGCUAUUAAACAAAGUAAAUAUUAAUUCAGUGGCUAUUUCAACAUGUAGUAAUUUAAACCCCCAACAGAAAGCUGUUUAACACAUAUGUCCUCUCAUCUAAUAUCCUGCUUAGUAGAUUCACAUUUGACACUAUUUUAAUUAUACAUAUUGGAGUCAUUGA
Molecule: RNA transcript, 3791 nt
Organism: Scomber japonicus (chub mackerel)
Lineage: Eukaryota; Metazoa; Chordata; Actinopteri; Scombriformes; Scombridae
Gene: cry1b
Gene name: cryptochrome circadian regulator 1b
Exons: 12
Source: RefSeq, a predicted model, not a curated record